RNAcentral lists this ribosomal RNA (253 nucleotides) under uncultured bacterium. RNAcentral's name for it is "partial 16S ribosomal RNA". It matches the Rfam family "Bacterial small subunit ribosomal RNA", at positions 524 to 776 of the family's 1533-position model. The record is from RNAcentral.
UACGUAGGGGGCAAGCGUUGUCCGGAUUCAUUGGGCGUAAAGAGCGUGUAGGCGGCCAGGUAGGUCGGUUGUGAAAACUGGAGGCUCAACCUUCAGAGGUCGACCGAAACCAUCUGGCUAGAGUCCGGGAGAGGAGAGUGGAAUUCCUGGUGUAGCGGUGAAAUGCGCAGAUAUCAGGAGGAACACCUGCGGUGUAGACGGCUUACUGGACCAUAACUGACGCUGAGGCACGAAAGCGUGGGUAGCAAACAGG